UACGAAGGGGGCUAGCGUUGCUCGGAAUCACUGGGCGUAAAGCGCACGUAGGCGGCUUUCUAAGUCAGGGGUGAAAUCCUGGAGCUCAACUCCAGAACUGCCUUUGAUACUGGAGAGCUUGAGUCCGGAAGAGGUGAGUGGAACUCCGAGUGUAGAGGUGAAAUUCGUAGAUAUUCGGAAGAACACCAGUUGGCGAAGGCGGCUCACUGGUCCGGUACUGACGCUGAGGUGCGAAAGCGUGGGGAGCAAACAGG
RNAcentral lists this ribosomal RNA (254 nucleotides) under uncultured bacterium. RNAcentral describes it as "partial 16S ribosomal RNA". It matches the Rfam family "Bacterial small subunit ribosomal RNA", at positions 524 to 776 of the family's 1533-position model. The record is from RNAcentral.